AAGAGCUCCUACCUCCUCUGUUCUUUUAAUCUCCUGCUGCGGGUGGCAGACAUGGGAGAGACAGGCAAGCUGCAAAGGGAAGUCGACGAAAUAAAAUUAAAGCCCUACAAUCGUGUUCGUGUCAAUGUAGAUGGGGUGCCCCCCUCGGUUUGCUCACAGAGGUGGGUGUGAGAUCCUACAGGACGGUCUGGAAGACAUCCCAUGGAAGGCACUUUAUUUUGCCCAGAAGCUGGAGGAAAAGCAGAAGGAUGCUGAACACUGACUAAGAGGAGAGAGCGCACAUUACAUGGAGACCAUGGUCCCUAUACCAGAAACAUGAGAGUAGAGAGAAGCAAAGCCAGCAUCGUGGAGCCAGUCCCUUUAUCCAGGGUCUUGGAGGGAUACAGUCUUCUGUAGAAAUUAAAUAAAAACUGAAUUCUUCAAUGGGUAUUUUGAGAAGAGAGCCACUGUAAGCUUAUACACUGUGAAUUGCAAAAUGUUACUGCCUCUGGGUGGACAGGUUUUAAAAAGACUUUUUUUUUUUUCCUCCUGGCAUGACUGACAGAGGGAAGGCUGGGUUUCAAUCCCAUCUUUCCCUUCCCUUGCCCAGUGCUUCUUUAUGUGCACAACCUGCACAACUAUAUGUGGUUUGCAAACACGCAUAAGCAAAGACUAACAGCUUCUGAAACAAACUCUGAAUAAAAGAGGGAGCAUAUUAAGGCAGAUGGCAGAGGAGGUGAGCAGCAUGGGCAGAUAGAAGCAUCACAGAGACUACAAGAAGAAUGUGCCAGACCAGCUCAUAGUGGCCACACUUAUUAAGAAUUAUCAUCAGCUCUUUAGGAUUUGGAA
Molecule: long non-coding RNA, 828 nt
Filed under: Pan troglodytes (chimpanzee)
Lineage: Eukaryota; Metazoa; Chordata; Mammalia; Primates; Hominidae
Description: lincRNA
Source: RNAcentral